CCUUUUGUUAAUAUAACUUGUAUAUUAUUAAGUUACUAUAUAUAAGUAAACUCUAUAGAGCAUUUCCGUACAAAGUACAACACAUUAGAGCCGCCACUACUAAAUAAUCAGAAGAACAAGAACAACCAAAAAAAAAGGGAAAUUUACGUUUUUGUCAAAAUCUACUUGACCUUAUUUAGAACACAAAAAUUAGGGCAUUAUAUAGUGUGGCUAAAGCCAUAUAGCUCCGGGCGUCUU
This 237-nucleotide long non-coding RNA is filed under the name Actinidia chinensis (golden kiwifruit). RNAcentral's name for it is "long non-coding RNA (ACHI_LNC005703)". Lineage: Eukaryota; Viridiplantae; Streptophyta; Magnoliopsida; Ericales; Actinidiaceae. The record is from RNAcentral.